Molecule: long non-coding RNA, 847 nt
Filed under: Medicago truncatula (barrel medic)
Lineage: Eukaryota; Viridiplantae; Streptophyta; Magnoliopsida; Fabales; Fabaceae
Description: long non-coding RNA (MTRU_LNC007608)
Source: RNAcentral
AUAACAAUUGCAUAUGUUGUAGUCUUCUCAACCACUAAUAACAAUUGCAUCUGUUCCCGUGGUAAUUCUAGCAUUGUCUAGCCAACAAAAUGGUAUGUUUAUGUGAUGAAUGUCAAUUAGUUUGUUUGAUUUCAUUAGUGUUUUGUGUUUUUGUUAAUGCCUUUCCUUAUAUGUCGCCAUUGGAAUUCUUGUUUAUUACAGUUACGUCUCAGGCAUGAAUGUAAGUCGAAGUAUAUUACUAAAGUCAACGAGAAGCUUACCGAACUUCAAAGGUCUCAAAUUCAAAAAACACCAUUUAAAUGGUUAUUGAGUUUGCCUAUGAAAUUAAAAAUAUCCGAAAAUUUUCUUGAAGAAUUGGUAGAAAGAUGGGAUGAUAGGAGUGGGGGGUUUGCUAUACAAGGUCGGAUAAUACGGUUUACACCUUUAGAUGUAUGUUUUGCAUUAGGACUUUGUUUAAUAGGUGAAAAUGUGAAAUUCAAAAAGGACCCUAUAUCCACUACGAAAGCAAUGUUUGAUAAUGAAGUCAUCAAUGUAAAAACAAUUUAUGCUAAAAUUAUUAAUUUGGAACGAGACGAAGAUGUUGAGAAGUUUUGCCGACUUUAUUUACUUCUUGGUUUUGCCGAGUUCUACUUUCCAAAUUCAAGUGUUAAGGUUAGUGGUUGGUGCCUAAAAAUGUUAGAAGACUUGAACUCCAUUGGGAGAUACAAUUGGGGUGUCUCUGUUUAUGAAACUCUUGCUUGCAGUUUAAAUCGAGUAGCGCCUCUUUUUUGUGAAGGAAAAAAUUCUUCACGGUUACAAAUUAAGGGAUGCGCUCUUGUAUUACAGGUUUGUUAUUGUAUGAUCAUUU